RNAcentral lists this unclassified non-coding RNA (208 nucleotides) under uncultured fungus. RNAcentral's name for it is "sequence contains ITS1". Lineage: Eukaryota; Fungi. The record is from RNAcentral.
UUAACUUAUUUAGUUAUAGGUUCAGAAUUCAAAAAUAAACAGAGUUUACUGGGCCACCGACAGGCUUGUCCGCGCCUACAGGGUAGGUCCUACAGGGUAGGUGCCGUCCGGGUAGGCGCGACCUGCCGAGGCAACGCGAGGUAUGUCCACAUGGGUUGGGAGUUUUUUAGACUCUAUAAUGAUCCCUCCGCUGGUUCACCAACGGAGA